This 1525-nucleotide ribosomal RNA is filed under the name Burkholderia cepacia. RNAcentral describes it as "bacterial SSU rRNA". It matches the Rfam family "Bacterial small subunit ribosomal RNA". Lineage: Bacteria; Pseudomonadati; Pseudomonadota; Betaproteobacteria; Burkholderiales; Burkholderiaceae. The record is from RNAcentral.
AGAGUUUGAUCAUGGCUCAGAUUGAACGCUGGCGGCAUGCCUUACACAUGCAAGUCGAACGGCAGCACGGGUGCUUGCACCUGGUGGCGAGUGGCGAACGGGUGAGUAAUACAUCGGAACAUGUCCUGUAGUGGGGGAUAGCCCGGCGAAAGCCGGAUUAAUACCGCAUACGAUCUACGGAUGAAAGCGGGGGACCUUCGGGCCUCGCGCUAUAGGGUUGGCCGAUGGCUGAUUAGCUAGUUGGUGGGGUAAAGGCCUACCAAGGCGACGAUCAGUAGCUGGUCUGAGAGGACGACCAGCCACACUGGGACUGAGACACGGCCCAGACUCCUACGGGAGGCAGCAGUGGGGAAUUUUGGACAAUGGGCGAAAGCCUGAUCCAGCAAUGCCGCGUGUGUGAAGAAGGCCUUCGGGUUGUAAAGCACUUUUGUCCGGAAAGAAAUCCUUGGCUCUAAUACAGUCGGGGGAUGACGGUACCGGAAGAAUAAGCACCGGCUAACUACGUGCCAGCAGCCGCGGUAAUACGUAGGGUGCAAGCGUUAAUCGGAAUUACUGGGCGUAAAGCGUGCGCAGGCGGUUUGCUAAGACCGAUGUGAAAUCCCCGGGCUCAACCUGGGAACUGCAUUGGUGACUGGCAGGCUAGAGUAUGGCAGAGGGGGGUAGAAUUCCACGUGUAGCAGUGAAAUGCGUAGAGAUGUGGAGGAAUACCGAUGGCGAAAGCAGCCCCCUGGGCCAAUACUGACGCUCAUGCACGAAAGCGUGGGGAGCAAACAGGAUUAGAUACCCUGAUAGUCCACGCCCUAAACGAUGUCAACUAGUUGUUGGGGAUUCAUUUCCUUAGUAACGUAGCUAACGCGUGAAGUUGACCGCCUGGGGAGUACGGUCGCAAGAUUAAAACUCAAAGGAAUUGACGGGGACCCGCACAAGCGGUGGAUGAUGUGGAUUAAUUCGAUGCAACGCGAAAAACCUUACCUACCCUUGACAUGGUCGGAAUCCCGCUGAGAGGUGGGAGUGCUCGAAAGAGAACCGGCGCACAGGUGCUGCAUGGCUGUCGUCAGCUCGUGUCGUGAGAUGUUGGGUUAAGUCCCGCAACGAGCGCAACCCUUGUCCUUAGUUGCUACGCAAGAGCACUCUAAGGAGACUGCCGGUGACAAACCGGAGGAAGGUGGGGAUGACGUCAAGUCCUCAUGGCCCUUAUGGGUAGGGCUUCACACGUCAUACAAUGGUCGGAACAGAGGGUUGCCAACCCGCGAGGGGGAGCUAAUCCCAGAAAACCGAUCGUAGUCCGGAUUGCACUCUGCAACUCGAGUGCAUGAAGCUGGAAUCGCUAGUAAUCGCGGAUCAGCAUGCCGCGGUGAAUACGUUCCCGGGUCUUGUACACACCGCCCGUCACACCAUGGGAGUGGGUUUUACCAGAAGUGGCUAGUCUAACCGCAAGGAGGACGGUCACCACGGUAGGAUUCAUGACUGGGGUGAAGUCGUAACAAGGUAGCCGUAUCGGAAGGUGCGGCUGGAUCACCUCCUU